This 510-nucleotide ribosomal RNA is filed under the name uncultured bacterium. RNAcentral describes it as "partial 16S ribosomal RNA". It matches the Rfam family "Bacterial small subunit ribosomal RNA", at positions 28 to 507 of the family's 1533-position model. The record is from RNAcentral.
GACGAACGCUGGCGGCGUGCUUAACACAUGCAAGUCGAACGAAGAGCGACGGAAGCUUGCUUCUAUCAAUCUUAGUGGCGAACGGGUGAGUAACGCGUAAUCAACCUGCCCUUCAGAGGGGGACAACAGUUGGAAACGACUGCUAAUACCGCAUACGAUCUAAUCUCGGCAUCGAGGAUGGAUGAAAGGUGGCCCCUACAUGUAAGCUAUCACUGAAGGAGGGGAUUGCGUCUGAUUAGCUAGUUGGAGGGGUAACGGCCCACCAAGGCGAUGAUCAGUAGCCGGUCUGAGAGGAUGAACGGCCACAUUGGGACUGAGACACGGCCCAGACUCCUACGGGAGGCAGCAGUGGGGAAUCUUCCGCAAUGGACGAAAGUCUGACGGAGCAACGCCGCGUGAGUGAUGACGGCCGUCGGGUUGUAAAGCUCUGUUAAUCGGGACGAAAGGCCUUCUUGCGAAUAGUGAGAAGGAUUGACGGUACCGGAAUAGAAAGCCACGGCUAACUACGUG